RNAcentral lists this ribosomal RNA (497 nucleotides) under uncultured bacterium. RNAcentral describes it as "partial 16S ribosomal RNA". It matches the Rfam family "Bacterial small subunit ribosomal RNA", at positions 28 to 507 of the family's 1533-position model. The record is from RNAcentral.
GAUGAACGCUGGCGGCGUGCCUAAUACAUGCAAGUCGAGCGAACGGACGAGAAGCUUGCUUUUCUGAUGUUAGCGGCGGACGGGUGAGUAACACGUGGAUAACCUACCUAUAAGACUGGGAUAACUUCGGGAAACCGGAGCUAAUACCGGAUAAUAUUUUGAACCGCAUGGUUCAAAAGUGAAAGACGGUCUUGCUGUCACUUAUAGAGGGAUCCGCGCUGCAUUAGCUAGUUGGUAAGGUAACGGCUUACCAAGGCAACGAUGCAUAGCCGACCUGAGAGGUUGAUCGGCCACACUGGAACUGAGACACGGUCCAGACUCCUACGGGAGGCAGCAGUGGGGAAUCUUCCGCAAUGGGCAAAAGCCUGACGGAGCAACGCCGCGUGAGUGAUGAAGUUCUUCGGAUCGUAAAACUCUGUUAUUAGGGAAGAACAUAUGUGUAAGUAACUGUGCACAUCUUGACGGUACCUAAUCAGAAAGCCACGGCUAACUACGUG